UAAUAUUCUAUGAUUUGAGUUUAAAAUUUGUAUUUUGUAUUUUUGGAAGAAAUUAUUUCCGAAAGUGCAUUUGUUUAUAAUAUGUUGAAAUGUAUUAUCAAAUAAUUGGUACCUGGAAAAUUACGUUUGAUAGAUUUUUCGAUGGCACAUUUGUUAGGGGUUUCCAUCAGAACCAAAAGAUACCGUGUUACAUGCUCGAUACUGUUACCAUUGAGUCAUUGACUUACUAUUUCUGAUUUAACAUCAAAAUCAUGUAAUUACAGGUUCACCAUAUGGCGGGUACACACUAAUCAAUGUGAACAAAGUUGAUUUGAUAGAAUUUCCAGAAUUCAAAGAAGUACCGUGGUAUUACGCGAAUGUAUCUGCAGGAGAUUGUCUGUUUCUUCCUAAAGGACAUUGGCACCAGGUUCGAUCCUACGGAGC
Non-coding RNA from Ciona intestinalis (vase tunicate), 423 nucleotides. Lineage: Eukaryota; Metazoa; Chordata; Ascidiacea; Phlebobranchia; Cionidae. The record is from RefSeq and is a predicted model, not a curated record.